GCCUAAAAAUACAAACCAAAAAGUGGAGUGGCUGCAGAGAUAGUUGUUUCCCGAGCCACGCUGCUCGUGUUUAUUGAUUUGCUCCUCAUGCGCCUUCAAACCUUUAAUUUGAGUUAAGAGUUGAGAUCUUCAGCCUUCCUUUGGACUUGGCCUCCAAAACUGAAAGUAUUUGCAGCCUUGGAGUUGAGAGUUGAUAUCACUCUUGCUUUGCAUUCAAAUAGAGAUGGAUAAGUCAUGGAUGUAUGCCGAUAGAAGGUCACGAGAGUAUGAGGUGGGAGUUGAAGGAUUUUUGAAGUUUGCCAUGGAGAACUCAAGAAAUGUGAAUCUAAUUCAUUGCCCUUGCAUAAAUUGUGGAAACAUUUUACAAUAUGGUAUUGCAGUUAUAAGGGAUCAUAUGUAUAUUAAUGGUGUUGAUACAAGUUAUCAAUCUUGGAUAUGGCACAGAGAGCCUUAUGUGUCAAUUGCAAAUGCAAAUGAACCUUUUCCAAGUACUAACGAACAAGGCUAUGUAUCUAAAAUAGUAGAUAUGGAAGAUACUGAUUUUGGGGAUUCAUUAAACGAUCCCUAUGAGUUUC
This is a non-coding RNA of Prunus mume (Japanese apricot), 575 nucleotides long. NCBI's taxonomy places the organism in Eukaryota, Viridiplantae, Streptophyta, Magnoliopsida, Rosales, Rosaceae. The record is from RefSeq and is a predicted model, not a curated record.